UGAGUUGGCCGGGUGACCGCGACACACGAAAGCGUGUCGAGGAAAGUCGGGACUCCUCAGGGCAAAGUGCUGGCGCGAGCCAGGUGGGGGCGACCUCACGGAAAGUGCAACAGAAAACAAACCGCCGUCGGGGGCAACUUCGGCGGUAAGGGUGAAACGGUGCGGUAAGAGCGCACCA
RNAcentral lists this RNase P RNA (178 nucleotides) under Actinomycetota bacterium. Its description in RNAcentral is "Actinobacteria bacterium partial RNase P RNA component class A". It matches the Rfam family "Bacterial RNase P class A", at positions 1 to 180 of the family's 367-position model. From Rfam's summary of the family: Ribonuclease P (RNase P) is a ubiquitous endoribonuclease, found in archaea, bacteria and eukarya as well as chloroplasts and mitochondria. Its best characterised activity is the generation of mature 5'-ends of tRNAs by cleaving the 5'-leader elements of precursor-tRNAs. Cellular RNase Ps are ribonucleoproteins. The record is from RNAcentral. Lineage: Bacteria; Bacillati; Actinomycetota.